CCUACGGGUGGCAGCAGUGAGGAAUAUUGGUCAAUGGCCGGAAGGCUGAACCAGCCAUGCCGCGUGAAGGUCAGUGCCCUAUGGGCGUUAAACUUCUUUUGUGCGGGAGCAAUAAUGGUAACGUGUGGCCAGACGAGAGUACCGUACGAAUAAGCAUCGGCUAACCCCGUGCCAGCCGCCGCGGUCAUACGGGGGAUGCAAGCGUUAUCCGGACUGAUUGGGUUUAAAGGGUGCGUAGGCGGUGAGGUAAGUCAGCGGGUAAAUGCCCCGGCUCAACGGGGUGAAGUGCCAUUGAUACUGCCUGGCUGGAAUGCGGAUGCCGUGGGAGGAAUGUGUGGUGUAGCGGUGAAAUGCAUAGAUAUCACACAGAACACCGAUUGCGAAGGCAUCUCCCGAAUCCGCGAUUGACGCUGAUGCACGAAAGCGUGGGUAUCAAACAGGAUUAGAUACCCCUGUAGUC
This 460-nucleotide ribosomal RNA is filed under the name uncultured bacterium. RNAcentral's name for it is "partial 16S ribosomal RNA". It matches the Rfam family "Bacterial small subunit ribosomal RNA", at positions 338 to 795 of the family's 1533-position model. The record is from RNAcentral.